CGCUAUGCUACAAGUACAAUGAAAUGUAAAAAAUACAUGAAAGAGGACUGUGCCAAGAGGGAUUCCAUCAUACCCUCCCUCUUAAAAAAAGAUUUGUCCUCAAAUCUGGCAAUCGCCUUAUGAAGAAGCUCCAUACAUUCUUUGGAGCAUGGCCAUCUUGGAAUGGCCUUAUUCUUUUAGAUCCACUUUUCUUCCUCCUGGAUCAAA
Molecule: long non-coding RNA, 207 nt
Filed under: Vigna radiata
Lineage: Eukaryota; Viridiplantae; Streptophyta; Magnoliopsida; Fabales; Fabaceae
Description: long non-coding RNA (VRAD_LNC016645)
Source: RNAcentral